This 353-nucleotide unclassified non-coding RNA is filed under the name soil metagenome. Its description in RNAcentral is "partial contains 5.8S ribosomal RNA, internal transcribed spacer 2, and large subunit ribosomal RNA". The stretch from base 1 to 120 matches the Rfam family "5.8S ribosomal RNA", at positions 35 to 154 of the family's 154-position model. The record is from RNAcentral.
GAUGAAGAACGCAGCGAAAUGCGAUAAGUAAUGUGAAUUGCAGAAUUCAGUGAAUCAUCGAAUCUUUGAACGCACAUUGCGCCCGCCAGUAUUCUGGCGGGCAUGCCUGUUCGAGCGUCAUUACAACCCUCAGGCCCCCGGGCCUGGCGUUGGGGAUCGGCGGAGCCCCCCGUGGGCACACGCCGUCCCCCAAAUGCAGUGGCGGUCCCGCCGCAGCUUCCAUCGCGUAGUAGCUAACACCUCGCGACUGGAGAGCGGCGCGGCCACGCCGUAAAACACCCAACUCUUCUGAAGUUGACCUCGAAUCAGGUAGGAAUACCCGCUGAACUUAAGCAUAUCCAAUAAGCGGAGGA